ACUGCGCCGCUGAGGUGAUGAUGCUACUCUGAUGUUUAGUUAGGCCCUUCGAGGCUAUUAUGUAAGUAUUGGUCAUGUGACCAUGUUGUAAUUUUCUUAUUCCGCUUUGUAAUGGAUGGUGUAAUUUGAUAUCAGUUCGGUUAUGUGUUCACGGCGCACUGAUCAUGGGAUCGUGAACUGUAUACAUAACAGGGUAUUUCGGACAGCUAGUCCGGGGUCCCCACAGAGCUGAUCUGUAACACCCCAACUUUUGCAACCUUGAUUAAUUGUCCAUAUUUCAAAAAUUAGGGGGAACAAAAACUUUUUCUA
This is a non-coding RNA of Lolium perenne, 309 nucleotides long. Lineage: Eukaryota; Viridiplantae; Streptophyta; Magnoliopsida; Poales; Poaceae. The record is from RefSeq and is a predicted model, not a curated record.